Molecule: ribosomal RNA, 509 nt
Filed under: uncultured bacterium
Lineage: Bacteria
Description: partial 16S ribosomal RNA
Rfam family: Bacterial small subunit ribosomal RNA
Source: RNAcentral
GACGAACGCUAGCGGCGUGCUUAACACAUGCAAGUGGUGCGACGAACCAGGCUCCGGCCUGGGUCAGAGCCGCGAACGGGUGAGUAACACGUGGGCAACCUGCCCUGUUGAUCGGGACAACCCGGGGAAACCCGGGCUAAUACCGAAUGUGGUGCCGGCUCAUGAGAGCCGCCACGAAAGGAAGCUUCGGCCUCCGCGACAGGAGGCGCCCGCGGCCCAGUAGCUUGUUGGUGGGGUAAUGGCCUACCAAGGCAACGAUGGGUGGCCGGUCUGAGAGGACGAUCAGCCACACUGGGACUGAGACACGGCCCAGACUCCUACGGGAGGCUGCAGUGGGGAAUCUUGCGCAAUGAGCGACAGCUUGACGCAGCAACGCCGCGUGGGGGAAGAAGGCUUUCGGGUCGUAAACCCCUUUCAGUUAGGACGAAGCUUUAUUGGUUAAUAACCAAUUGGAGUGACGGUACUUUCAGAAGAAGCCCCGGCUAACUACGUGCCAGCAGCCGCAGUAA